GACGAACGCUGGCGGCGUGCUUAACACAUGCAAGUCGAACGAAGAGCGAUGGAAGCUUGCUUCUAUCAAUCUUAGUGGCGAACGGGUGAGUAACGCGUAAUCAACCUGCCCUUCAGAGGGGGACAACAGUUGGAAACGACUGCUGAUACCGCAUACGAUCUAACCUCGGCAUCGAGGAAAGAUGAAAGGUGGCCUCUAUGUAUAAGCUAUCACUGAAGGAGGGGAUUGCGUCUGAUUAGCUAGUUGGAGGGGUAACGGCCCACCAAGGCGAUGAUCAGUAGCCGGUCUGAGAGGAUGAACGGCCACAUUGGGACUGAGACACGGCCCAGACUCCUACGGGAGGCAGCAGUGGGGAAUCUUCCGCAAUGGACGAAAGUCUGACGGAGCAACGCCGCGUGAGUGAUGACGGCCUUCGGGUUGUAAAGCUCUGUUAAUCGGGACGAAAGGCCUUCUUGCGAAUAGUGAGAAGGAUUGACGGUACCGGAAUAGAAAGCCACGGCUAACUACGUG
This 510-nucleotide ribosomal RNA is filed under the name uncultured bacterium. Its description in RNAcentral is "partial 16S ribosomal RNA". It matches the Rfam family "Bacterial small subunit ribosomal RNA", at positions 28 to 507 of the family's 1533-position model. The record is from RNAcentral.